This is a non-coding RNA of Paenibacillus sp. oral taxon 786, 173 nucleotides long. Lineage: Bacteria; Bacillati; Bacillota; Bacilli; Caryophanales; Paenibacillaceae. The record is from Rfam.
UCUAUCGCGAGGUAGAAUCUGAAGGAAGCCGGCGGCAAAUCUCCGGCCCGAGGAACACGAACCUCAUAUGAGGCUGGCAUUCGUUGGAUGAGGCUGCAUGACAAGUCAAAGUCCUUACUGCCGAAGGCGAAUGAGAGUAAAUGAGGCGGGUAGAUGGAGAGGAAGAUAACGCU